This is a long non-coding RNA of Sander lucioperca (pikeperch), 512 nucleotides long. RefSeq lists it as uncharacterized. NCBI's taxonomy places the organism in Eukaryota, Metazoa, Chordata, Actinopteri, Perciformes, Percidae. The record is from RefSeq and is a predicted model, not a curated record. The transcript has 2 exons.
ACGGCAUUUCAGAAUGUUUGUAAACAAUAGGCACCAAGAUACUUCCGGGUGGCAGAACGCGAGCGGCUUCUACUGACCAACUGAAGAGAUCCAGCCGGCUACUGUAAACAGUUACAUAGUUAAAAACAUUGUUGUUGAUCAAAGUUGAAACAAUGAUGAAAACGUGUUGUGUUUGGGGUUGCGCCGCCAGAUAUACAUCACAAGGUGUAGGGUUUUAUCGAUUUCCUUCAGAAAAAAGUACAUUUAUCCAGGGGAACCUGUGGGUGAGGAGGUUAAAGUGACUGGACGUUGUCAAAAGUAGUGUUACAGAGAAGAUAGCAAGACUGCCUGGUGGCGGAGUAGCCAUUUCUAACGGGGCAGACUUGGAACCAAACCUCCAUCAUCGUGUUUGUGGAAGACAUUUUCUCACAGGUUGUCCGAACCCCGACCCCGACCACCCUGACUUUGCUCCUUCACAACACCUGGGACCUGAGUUAACCGAUCCAACCGCAUCUGCUAAGAGAGCAGCAGAU